Molecule: ribosomal RNA, 354 nt
Filed under: uncultured bacterium
Lineage: Bacteria
Description: bacterial SSU rRNA
Rfam family: Bacterial small subunit ribosomal RNA
Source: RNAcentral
AGAGUUUGAUCAUGGCUCAGGAUGAACGCUAGCUACAGGCUUAACACAUGCAAGUCGAGGGGAAACGACAUCGAAAGCUUGCUUUUGAUGGGCGUCGACCGGCGCACGGGUGAGUAACGCGUAUCCAACCUGCCCACCACUUGGGGAUAACCUUGCGAAAGUAAGACUAAUACCCAAUGACGUCUCUAGAAGACAUCUGAAAGGGAUUAAAGAUUUAUCGGUGAUGGAUGGGGAUGCGUCUGAUUAGUCUUGUUGGGCGGGGUAACGGCCCACAAGGCUACGAUCAGUAGGGGUUCUGAGAGGAACGGCCCCCANAUUGGAACUGAGACACGGUCCAAACUCCUACGGGAGGCA